UGUUUAUUUGCCAUGCAACCUGUUGAUAAGGUCAAAUGUGCUGGAUGAAGGGACCACCCAAAUAUCAGGUUGAUCCAAAACGUGUCGCCCACAGGAAUUUUUAAUGAUCAAUCACCACUGUUUCCUGUGGUGUGGUCCACCUCGGAUUUGGGUCUGCUUCAGUUUUGGGAUCAUGCCUUAAACUGAGCUGUCAAAGCAUAUUUGCUGCGUGGAUGUAAGGUACACAUAUCUUGGUACGCCCCACAGUCCGAAGCUGCGCGCUCCUGUCACGGAUCAUCCGCAUGUUUGAUAGUUGUUAGGUCGGGUCGAGUAGAUACUUGACUGGGCUGUAUCUGUGUGGGCUGAUCAAAUCCCGUCAUGUUAAGUCGGUAAACCCACCAUGUUAAGAUGGUGAAAAAUCUUCUAGAAGUAUUGUGAGGCCCAUCACACGGGAAUUCAAGCCACCCCACCUGAAGCUUUGUGAAGCCCACUGUAAAUGUAACUCAAGCCCUCUACUGUGUGCAUUCCGGCCCAAACGAGCUGAUCGAUUGAUUGAUAAGGUCUUCAGCCAAGGAUUUAUCUGGAUGGGGCUUCUGCAUAUCUUAUGUCAAGCUGCUGAUAGCCCUUGAUGGCAUAUUUUAUGUGAGAAAAUAUAAGAUUUUGGGGUAUGAUUUACCGCUCAAAACUCUACCUAUUGAAUGGUAGAUCUUAAUGUCAAAAGGAGUUUUUAUGUAAUUUGAUGAUUUUAAGAGUGGUAACAUCUAAUGUCAAGCCCUUUUAUGUAAUUUUGGAGCAAUUAAUCACUCAUUCUUCCAAGCUC
Magnolia sinica is the source of this 799-nucleotide long non-coding RNA. RefSeq lists it as uncharacterized. The record is from RefSeq and is a predicted model, not a curated record. The transcript has 2 exons. Lineage: Eukaryota; Viridiplantae; Streptophyta; Magnoliopsida; Magnoliales; Magnoliaceae.